CAAAAAGAUUUGGGGAAGGGAGGAGAAGCUCUCAAACCCUCACCAUCUUUGAUCCACCGUAUCUUCCUCGCUUGAGCUCCGAUUGACGAGCUGUUUGUGGCCACGCGUUCGUCUUGGGGUCCUCUUCAAUUUUAUAUGAACAAAGUGGUGCAAACUAAAAUUGGAUAAUUGUUGGGUUGCACUCCAAUCACCAAUGGGUACGGUCGAGAGGCUCCUCGCUAGGCGUCUGGAUCCUGGGAAGCAAAGUAGUCCUUGGGUGUAUUUUGGUUUUCUAUUUGCAUGUAUGUAUAUAUGUAUUUAGCUUACUCUCCAAGUAACUUAUGUAUGCUGCUCCUCUUAGAGGAUGAGGGAGAGAUAGGAGUUUAUUUUGGUAUUUUGGUGUAUUUUGGGGAUACCUAUGUAUGUUCAUAUAUACAUAUAUAUAUAUAUAUAUAUAUAUAUAUAUAUCCUCUGGCCAGCCUUAGCUUCGCAGGCUGAGUCAGGGGCUAGUUAUGUUGUUUCCUUGGCUUUUCUUUAUUCUUUUGCUUAUCUUUAUCAUGUUCCUAUUAGGUUUCUUAGCA
Arachis stenosperma is the source of this 560-nucleotide long non-coding RNA. RefSeq lists it as uncharacterized. NCBI's taxonomy places the organism in Eukaryota, Viridiplantae, Streptophyta, Magnoliopsida, Fabales, Fabaceae. The transcript has 3 exons. The record is from RefSeq and is a predicted model, not a curated record.